Molecule: non-coding RNA, 30 nt
Filed under: Macaca fascicularis (crab-eating macaque)
Lineage: Eukaryota; Metazoa; Chordata; Mammalia; Primates; Cercopithecidae
Also listed under: 1 other name
Source: RNAcentral
UGGAAGGAAUGAACAGAUAUAUCACGUGGC